CGAUAUGAGGGACGAUGCAGCAGCAUAGUGGACGAUUGAACGAGGUGGGGCGGGCUUCAAAAUGUCAGAACGUCGCUCAAGAAAGGUGAGACCAAAACAGCAAUGCCGACGUGCUCCAUUGAGUGAUGACUUGGAUCCUGCGUGGCUGGCUAUGCCGCCUUGGCAUGGAACAACAGCGACAGAUGGCGUGGCAGUCG
Dermacentor silvarum is the source of this 197-nucleotide long non-coding RNA. RefSeq lists it as uncharacterized. The record is from RefSeq and is a predicted model, not a curated record. Lineage: Eukaryota; Metazoa; Arthropoda; Arachnida; Ixodida; Ixodidae. The transcript is spliced from 3 exons.